AAUGUAAUUGAUGAGUUAUAUAGUAAGUCCAUUAUUUGUUUUGAAAGAACUUGCCAAACUAUUUUUCAGAAUGGCUGUACCAUUUUACAUUCCUAUCAACAAU
Molecule: microRNA precursor, 103 nt
Filed under: Marmota monax (woodchuck)
Lineage: Eukaryota; Metazoa; Chordata; Mammalia; Rodentia; Sciuridae
Source: RNAcentral